This 492-nucleotide ribosomal RNA is filed under the name uncultured bacterium. RNAcentral describes it as "partial 16S ribosomal RNA". It matches the Rfam family "Bacterial small subunit ribosomal RNA", at positions 29 to 507 of the family's 1533-position model. The record is from RNAcentral.
AGUGAACGCUGGCGGUAGGCCUAACACAUGCAAGUCGAACGGCAGCACAGUAAGAGCUUGCUCUUACGGGUGGCGAGUUGCGGACGGGUGAGGAAUACAUCGGAAUCUACUUUUUCGUGGGGGAUAACGUAGGGAAACUUACGCUAAUACCGCAUACGACCUACGGGUGAAAGCAGGGGAUCUUCGGACCUUGCGCGAUUGAAUGAGCCGAUGUCGGAUUAGCUAGUUGGCGGGGUAAAGGCCCACCAAGGCGACGAUCCGUAGCUGGUCUGAGAGGAGGAUCAGACACACUGGAACGGAGACACGGUCCAGACCCCUACGGGAGGCAGGGGUGGGGAAUAUUGGACAAUGGGCGCAAGGCUGAUCCAGCCAUACCGCGUGGGUGAAGAAGGCCUUCGGGUUGUAAAGCCCUUUUGUUGGGAAAGAAAAGCAGCAGGUUAAUACCCCGCUGUUCUGACGGUACCGAAAGAAUAAGCACCGGCUAACUUCGUG